UGGGGAAUAUUGCACAAUGGGCGCAAGCCUGAUGCAGCCAUGCCGCGUGUGUGAAGAAGGCCUUCGGGUUGUAAAGCACUUUCAGCGAGGAGGAAGGUGGUGAACUUAAUACGUUCAUCAAUUGACGUUACUCGCAGAAGAAGCACCGGCUAACUCCGUGCCAGCAGCCGCGGUAAUACGGAGGGUGCAAGCGUUAAUCGGAAUUACUGGGCGUAAAGCGCACGCAAGGCGGUUUGUUAAGUCAGAUGUGAAAUCCCCGGGCUCAACCUGGGAACUGCAUUUGAAACUGGCAAGCUAGAGUCUCGUAGAGGGGGGUAGAAUUCCAGGUGUAGCGGUGAAAUGCGUAGAGAUCUGGAGGAAUACCGGUGGCGAAGGCGGCCCCCCUGGACGAAGACUGACGCUCAGG
RNAcentral lists this ribosomal RNA (406 nucleotides) under uncultured bacterium. Its description in RNAcentral is "partial 16S ribosomal RNA". It matches the Rfam family "Bacterial small subunit ribosomal RNA", at positions 355 to 751 of the family's 1533-position model. The record is from RNAcentral.